CUGCCGUCUUGCCCGGUUUUACCUUCCUGCGCCAUGCCUGUCCAGAUAAGCUAAAGUUCACAUGGAAGAGCCCCGUGACCUUUGCUUCCAUCUCUGCUUCCUGACCUGGACUUCAGAACCCAGUUUCCAAGAUCUCUUUCAGGAGGCCACUGGACCAGUCAGAGGGAGGAGUCACUUGAACUCCUACUCAGCUCUCCUUGGCCCUGCCACUCCUCCCCCAGCCCACAGGGCCUACGGAAGCCUCGGAAGCCUCGCCUCAUCCCUGGGCCACAGGGAAUCAUUCAAGAAAGAGCCAAGUAAACAAAGACCCACCAGCCUGCCUGCAAUGAUGGGAGACUAGUCCUCAGAACAAGCUGGAGGUCUGGAGGGGUCCUGUCCAUUAUUCCUGUGAGCCCCAGGCUCUGCUUCUCGUCAGGUCCCCAGGGUAGUCUGUGCAUUGUACCUUCCUGUCACCACUUCCGUCCAGUUGUGCAGGUGCCCCUGAGCCGUCGGGAAGAAGAUGCAGAGAGACAGAGAGCAUGAGAGUGCCUUAGACUCACAUUGGGCAAGUAAACAUCAGCUGUAAUCUAAAUGACAGAGGAAAUGCAUCUUUCACACAUCUGGAGUCACAGCCACAGGCUGCCAGGUCAGAGGGUUCACAGCCUCCCAGGGGACUCUUCUCUUAUCAUAAUGAAACUGCGCCAAGGAAGAAUGCAGCCGGUAUUGUCCACAACCUAAACAUGGCUGGGAAUGAGAUCCUUGAAUCUAAUCUCCUUUGCUUAGUUUCCUCCCUGACCAUGUCCAAAAACAAUUUGUAACCGACCCUCCUAAAUGAUGACAAACAUCCACCAAAUGACCAAAAACCACUCAACUCCACCUCUUGG
Peromyscus leucopus (white-footed mouse) is the source of this 863-nucleotide long non-coding RNA. RefSeq lists it as uncharacterized. The transcript has 3 exons. NCBI's taxonomy places the organism in Eukaryota, Metazoa, Chordata, Mammalia, Rodentia, Cricetidae. The record is from RefSeq and is a predicted model, not a curated record.